RNAcentral lists this transfer RNA (72 nucleotides) under Bos taurus (domestic cattle). It matches the Rfam family "tRNA". Rfam says of the family: Transfer RNA (tRNA) molecules are approximately 80 nucleotides in length. Their secondary structure includes four short double-helical elements and three loops (D, anti-codon, and T loops). Lineage: Eukaryota; Metazoa; Chordata; Mammalia; Artiodactyla; Bovidae. RNAcentral also lists the same sequence under 1 other name. The record is from Rfam by way of RNAcentral.
CCCCUGGUGGCUCAGACGGUAAAGCGUCUGCCUAAAAUGCGGGAGACCCAGGUUCAGUUCCUGGGUUGGGAA